Molecule: non-coding RNA, 83 nt
Filed under: Chroococcidiopsis thermalis
Lineage: Bacteria; Bacillati; Cyanobacteriota; Cyanophyceae; Chroococcidiopsidales; Chroococcidiopsidaceae
Also listed under: 1 other name
Description: Fluoride sequence
Rfam family: Fluoride riboswitch aptamer (crcB RNA motif)
Source: RNAcentral
AUAAUCUGAGGUGAUGGGGCUCGCCUUAACUGCCAUCUGGAAAUUGACAUGACAACCAGAAGGCUGAUGGCUCCUACUGUUCC